GCCUACGGGGCGCAGCAGUGAGGAAUAUUGGUCAAUGGCCGGAAGGCUGAACCAGCCAAGCCGCGUGAAGGACGAAGGUGCCAAGCAUUGUAAACUUCUUUUGUCAAGGGACAAAAUCAGGCUCGAGAGCCUGACCGAGGGUACUUGAAGAAAAAGCAUCGGCUAACUCCGUGCCAGCAGCCGCGGUAAUACGGAGGAUGCGAGCGUUAUCCGGAUUUACUGGGUGUAAAGGGAGCGUAGACGGCAGAGCAAGUCUGAAGUGAAAGCCCGCGGCCCAACUGCGGGACUGCUUUGGAAACUGCCCG
Molecule: ribosomal RNA, 305 nt
Filed under: uncultured bacterium
Lineage: Bacteria
Description: bacterial SSU rRNA
Rfam family: Bacterial small subunit ribosomal RNA
Source: RNAcentral